AGAAUAUUGCACAAUGGACGAAAGUCUGAUGCAGCGACACCGCGUGAAGGAUGAAGGCCCUAGGGUUGUAAACUUCUUUUAUUAGGGAAUAGCAAGGAAGGUACCUAAUGAAUAAGCAACGGCUAACUACGUGCCAGCAGCCGCGGUAAUACGUAGGUUGCAAACGUUGUCCGGAAUCACUGGGCGUAAAGGGUCCGUAGGCGGUUUGAUAAGUCUCAUAUGAAAGCUUCAAGCUCAACUUGGAGAUGUUGUGAGAUACUGUCAGACUAGAGACUGUUAGAGGUAAGUGGAAUUCCAGGUGUAGUGGUGAAAUGCGUAGAUAUCUGGAGGAACACCAGUGGCGAAAGCGACUUACUGGGACAGUUCUGACGCUAAGGGACGAAAGCGUGGGGAGCGAACCGGAUUAGAUACCCGGGUAGUCCACGCUGUAAACGAUGAUUGCUAGGUUUUCGGGGCAUCGACCCCUCGUGAGCCGAAGUUAACGCGUUAAGCAAUCCGCCUGAGUAGUACGGCCGCAAGGCUAAAACUCAAAGGAAUUGACGGGGGACCGCACAAGCAGCGGAGCGUGUGGUUUAAUUCGAUGGUAAGCGAAGAACCUUACCAGGGUUUGACAUGUAAGUAGUACUGAACCGAAAGGGGAUGGACCCGCAAGGGAGCUUACACAGGUGUUGCAUGGUUGUCGUCAGCUCGUGCCGUGAGGUGUUGGGUUAAGUCCCGCAACGAGCGCAACCCUCUUUGUUAGUUGCACUCUCUAACGAUACUGCCCUUAAAAGGGAGGAAGGUGGGGAUGACGUCAAAUCAUCAUGGCUCUUACACCCUGGGCUACACACACGCUACAAUGGCAAGUACAGACGGUCGCCAACCCGCGAGGGGGAGCUAAUCCGAUAAAACUUGUCUCAGUUGGGAUUGCAGGCUGAAAUUCGCCUGCAUGAACGUGGAGUUGCUAGUAAACGCAGGUCAGCACACUGCGUUGAAUACGUUCCCGGUCCUUGUACACACCGCCCGUCACGUCAUGGAAGUUGGUAACACUUGAAGUCGUUGCGCUAACCCUUUGGGAGGCAGACGCCGAGAGUGGGACUGAUGACUGGGACGAAGUCGUAACAAGGUAGCUGUACCGGAAGGUGCG
This 1126-nucleotide ribosomal RNA is filed under the name marine metagenome. Its description in RNAcentral is "bacterial SSU rRNA". It matches the Rfam family "Bacterial small subunit ribosomal RNA", at positions 358 to 1516 of the family's 1533-position model. The record is from RNAcentral.